UACAGAGGUGGCAAGCGUUGUUCGGAAUUACUGGGCGUAAAGGGCGAGUAGGUGGCCAUCUAAGUCAGACGUGAAAUCCCCCGGCUUAACCUGGGAACUGCGUCUGAUACUGGACGGCUUGAGUAUGGGAGAGGAACGUAGAAUUCCAGGUGUAGCGGUGAAAUGCGUAGAUAUCAAGAGGAACACCAGUGGCGAAGGCGAGUCCCUGGACAACACCUGACACUGAGGCACGAAAGCUAGGGGAGCAAACAGG
Molecule: ribosomal RNA, 253 nt
Filed under: uncultured bacterium
Lineage: Bacteria
Description: partial 16S ribosomal RNA
Rfam family: Bacterial small subunit ribosomal RNA
Source: RNAcentral